RNAcentral lists this ribosomal RNA (459 nucleotides) under uncultured bacterium. RNAcentral's name for it is "partial 16S ribosomal RNA". It matches the Rfam family "Bacterial small subunit ribosomal RNA", at positions 338 to 795 of the family's 1533-position model. The record is from RNAcentral.
CCUACGGGAGGCAGCAGUGAGGAAUAUUGGUCAAUGGUCGGGAGACUGAACCAGCCAAGCCGCGUGAAGGAGGAUGGUCCAGAGGAUCGUAAACUUCUUUUGUCGGGGAAUAAAGCCUACGACGCGUCACCUGCUGUUUGUACCUGAUGACAAAGCAUCGGCUAACUCCGUGCCAGCAGCCGCGGUAAUACGGAGGAUCCGAGCGUUAUCCGGAUUUAUGGGGUUUAAAGGGGGCGCGGGCGGUCUGUUAAGUCAGUGGGAAAAGAGCGCGGCUAAACCGCGCACCGCCGUUGAAACUGGAAGUCUUGAGUUCAGGAGAGGUAGGCGGAAUUCGCGGUGUAGCGGUGAAAUGCAUAGAUAUCGCGAAGAACUCCGAUUGCGAAGGCAGCAUGCCGGCUUGCCACUGACGCUGAGGCUCGAAGGUGUGGGUAUCAAACAGGAUUAGAUACCCUGGUAGUC